RNAcentral lists this transfer RNA (72 nucleotides) under Cavia porcellus (domestic guinea pig). It matches the Rfam family "tRNA". Rfam says of the family: Transfer RNA (tRNA) molecules are approximately 80 nucleotides in length. Their secondary structure includes four short double-helical elements and three loops (D, anti-codon, and T loops). Further hydrogen bonds mediate the characteristic L-shaped molecular structure. tRNAs have two regions of fundamental functional importance: the anti-codon, which is responsible for specific mRNA codon recognition, and the 3' end, to which the tRNAs corresponding amino acid is attached (by aminoacyl-tRNA synthetases). tRNAs cope with the degeneracy of the genetic code in two manners: having more than one tRNA (with a specific anti-codon) for a particular amino acid; and 'wobble' base-pairing, i.e. permitting non-standard base-pairing at the 3rd anti-codon position. The record is from Rfam by way of RNAcentral. Lineage: Eukaryota; Metazoa; Chordata; Mammalia; Rodentia; Caviidae.
UGGCGUGUGGCUCCGUGGUAGAGCCCUUGCCUGGCACACAUGAAGCCCUGGGUUCAAACCCAAGCACUACAA